This 1045-nucleotide long non-coding RNA is filed under the name Carassius auratus (goldfish). RNAcentral describes it as "lncRNA (ENSCARG00000059372.1)". Lineage: Eukaryota; Metazoa; Chordata; Actinopteri; Cypriniformes; Cyprinidae. The record is from RNAcentral.
GUCAGAUCAUAUCAUAAACGAAAGCUGCAGCUUUUCUUCUUGUUUCCCGAACGAAAUAUGGCAAAUGUGGGUAACAGCUGUCGCUUUGUUAGCUGGUUAGUGAAUUCUGAUUUAAAUCACCCCGACAGCACUGAUGAUGAUGAUGAUGAUGAUGAUGGUAUUUCUGAAGAUGGACUGAAGAUGUGUGAAUGUAACGCUCCAGUCGCUGAACUGGAUUCAGGUCUGUUUGAGCCUGAGGAAGAGUACCAUCUACCCCGGAGCAGCCCUGUCAUAUCCCGCAAGAGACAGAACACAGAGACAGAAAAACAGUUUGGUCUGUCUUUGACACCUCCAAUAUGGGAACUAUCUAUCUCCCCAACUGUGAAAUCUAACUGUUCAAGUCUGCACAGACUGGUAGAGUCCAGUCGCUCACAGGAAAAGAGAAACCUUGAUCACGGUGUUUCACCCAAGGGCUCUUCAGGACACACACAGCUCCUCUCAGAUAGUCAUGGCACAGUGAAAGGAGUUUCACCUGUCUCUAAGGACACUCGCAGCCACUCUUUUGUUUCUGGGCGAUUUCAUGAGGGUUUGCAGUCAAAGACUAAAAGAAGAGCCUGCUCUGACCUCCCACCAGCAUCUGUUCAGAGGAGCUCAGACCGAGCUAAGAAACAUGGGUCAUGUGUAGAUCACUCCACUGCAGACUUCUACAGUCUGGACCAGGUACACUGUAAAAAAAAAAAAGAUUUACUUAAAAAUAUAGUGCAUUAUUUUUUGCAAGCCACUUUUUAAGCAUUUUCACAUGGAAUCUCUAGCAACAUUAACUAAGAAACUUCAGCAGUACCUAAAUAUUUGAGGAUCCUUAUAGAAAUGUUGCUUAAAUGUCAACUUAUAAACAGAGUUGCCAACUCAUUUUCAGGGGAAGUUGCUAAAGGAAGGUCGAUUUGUUACUAAAAGUUGCUAAAUGGCAUUGUGAUGUCAUUGCAUGAUGACAUUAUUACGUAAAUAUGAAGCAAAAUUACAUCAAAUCUCAGGAAACAAAUAUUUUAUGUGUUCAUUUACAUUAGUU